Molecule: transfer RNA, 94 nt
Filed under: Musca domestica (house fly)
Lineage: Eukaryota; Metazoa; Arthropoda; Insecta; Diptera; Muscidae
Rfam family: tRNA
About the family: Transfer RNA (tRNA) molecules are approximately 80 nucleotides in length. Their secondary structure includes four short double-helical elements and three loops (D, anti-codon, and T loops).
Source: Rfam by way of RNAcentral
CCUUCGAUAGCUCAGUUGGUAGAGCGGUGGACUGUAGAAAAUGCAAUUGAAAGUAGAAAUCCAUAGGUCGCUGGUUCAAAUCCGGCUCGAAGGA